RNAcentral lists this small nuclear RNA (105 nucleotides) under Castor canadensis (American beaver). The record is from RNAcentral. Lineage: Eukaryota; Metazoa; Chordata; Mammalia; Rodentia; Castoridae.
UUGCUUGCUUCAGUAGCACAUAUACUAAAAUUGGAACAACAGAGAAGAUUAGCAGGGCCCCUGCGCAAGGAUAACACACAAACUCGUAAAGAGUUCCGUAUUUUU